GUCCAUCCCAUGUCCAUCCCAUGUCCAUCCCGUGUCCAUCCCGUGUCCAUGUGUCCAUCCCAUGUCCGUGUGUCCAUCCCGUGUCCAUCCCAUGUCCGUGUGUCCAUCCCGUGUCCAUCCCAUGUCCGUGUGUCCAUCCCGUGUCCAUCCCGUGUCCGUCCCGUGUCCGUGUGUCCGUCUCACAGCACGAUCCACGUGUAGCGCUCGUUGUCCGCCAGGACCUUCAGGGAGCAGCCUGGGGGGGGGAUGAAGCAGUUUUUGGGGGGAAAGACCCCCAAAAUCAACCCCCCAGACCCCCCGCAGG
Molecule: long non-coding RNA, 304 nt
Filed under: Manacus vitellinus (golden-collared manakin)
Lineage: Eukaryota; Metazoa; Chordata; Aves; Passeriformes; Pipridae
Description: lncRNA (ENSMVIG00005004258.1)
Source: RNAcentral